Molecule: microRNA, 20 nt
Filed under: Salmo salar (Atlantic salmon)
Lineage: Eukaryota; Metazoa; Chordata; Actinopteri; Salmoniformes; Salmonidae
Description: ssa-miR-429-5p
Gene: ssa-miR-429-5p
Source: miRBase by way of RNAcentral
GUCUUACCAGACAUGGUUAG